This is a non-coding RNA of Triticum aestivum (bread wheat), 162 nucleotides long. Lineage: Eukaryota; Viridiplantae; Streptophyta; Magnoliopsida; Poales; Poaceae. The record is from Rfam.
UAACUACUCCCUCCGUUCGGAAUUACUUGUCUCGGAAAUGGAUGUAUCUAGAACUAAAAUACGUCUAGAUACAUCCAUUUUCGCGACAAGUAAUUUCGAACUAAAAUACGUCUAGAUACAUCCAUUUUCGCGACAAGUAAUUUCGAACGGAGGGAAUAGCAG